UAAUAACAUGUCACAGAUAAUAAUUACAACGGAUAAAAAUAAUGUUACAAUUUUCAAACAAAAUCAAUUUAAAACAAGAAAAAUGGAAUGUACAAGUACGUCCAAAACAUAUUUAGUUGUGCCAUUUUGACAAACAGGUGGUAGGCAGACGAACAGGUAUCAAUUAUCAUGUUCACUACAUACGAACGCAACUCGAAGCCACGUUUGAAUACUAUAAUCAUAAAUCAUAACCCAUUAAGUAAAACACAGUAGAAGAAUAAUGCAAAACAGAUCAGAAAAGCUUACCCCCACUACUAUGGAGGAAGAACAGGCUCUCCAGAAACGAAAAUUUUAUUGGGGAAAUACACCAGAUGAAGAAGAAUACCACAAACU
This 372-nucleotide long non-coding RNA is filed under the name Lactuca sativa (garden lettuce). RNAcentral describes it as "long non-coding RNA (LSAT_LNC003603)". Lineage: Eukaryota; Viridiplantae; Streptophyta; Magnoliopsida; Asterales; Asteraceae. The record is from RNAcentral.